This 205-nucleotide long non-coding RNA is filed under the name Panax ginseng (ginseng). RNAcentral's name for it is "long non-coding RNA (PGIN_LNC016764)". The record is from RNAcentral. Lineage: Eukaryota; Viridiplantae; Streptophyta; Magnoliopsida; Apiales; Araliaceae.
CCGUAUUUGCCUAGGAGUGAUUCAUCUUAAAAGGCCGAAUUACCAGCGUAGCAUAUAUAAUAAGAGUGUUUUCAACUUAGUUUGUCAUAUUGAAAAUUAAAUCUCACCUAAUAUAACUGCUAAGAAAGUGUUAGAAAAAGAUGAUUCCCUCAUGAUGAGAGUUUUUCAUCCGUUCUUUUUCUCUCCCUCUUUUCCCUUAACUUCC